RNAcentral lists this ribosomal RNA (802 nucleotides) under Arthrobacter sp. RNAcentral describes it as "bacterial SSU rRNA". It matches the Rfam family "Bacterial small subunit ribosomal RNA", at positions 536 to 1336 of the family's 1533-position model. Lineage: Bacteria; Bacillati; Actinomycetota; Actinomycetes; Micrococcales; Micrococcaceae. The record is from RNAcentral.
UAGCGUUAUCCGGAAUUAUUGGGCGUAAAGAGCUCGUAGGCGGUUUGUCGCGUCUGCCGUGAAAGUCCGGGGCUUAACUCCGGAUCUGCGGUGGGUACGGGCAGACUAGAGUGCAGUAGGGGAGACUGGAAUUCCUGGUGUAGCGGUGAAAUGCGCAGAUAUCAGGAGGAACACCGAUGGCGAAGGCAGGUCUCUGGGCUGUAACUGACGCUGAGGAGCGAAAGCAUGGGGAGCGAACAGGAUUAGAUACCNUGGUAGUCCAUGCCGUAAACGUUGGGCACUAGGUGUGGGGGACAUUCCACGUUUUCCGCGCCGUAGCUAACGCAUUAAGUGCCCCGCCUGGGGAGUACGGCCGCAAGGCUAAAACUCAAAGGAAUUGACGGGGGCCCGCACAAGCGGCGGAGCAUGCGGAUUAAUUCGAUGCAACGCGAAGAACCUUACCAAGGCUUGACAUGAACCGGAAUGAUGCAGAGAUGUGUCAGCCACUUGUGGCCGGUUUACAGGUGGUGCAUGGUUGUCGUCAGCUCGUGUCGUGAGAUGUUGGGUUAAGUCCCGCAACGAGCGCAACCCUCGUUCCAUGUUGCCAGCGGGUUAUGCCGGGGACUCAUGGGAGACUGCCGGGGUCAACUCGGAGGAAGGUGGGGACGACGUCAAAUCAUCAUGCCCCUUAUGUCUUGGGCUUCACGCAUGCUACAAUGGCCGGUACAAAGGGUUGCGAUACUGUGAGGUGGAGCUAAUCCCAAAAAGCCGGUCUCAGUUCGGAUUGAGGUCUGCAACUCGACCUCAUGAAGUUGGAGUCGCU